This is a non-coding RNA of Ameiurus melas (black bullhead), 75 nucleotides long. Lineage: Eukaryota; Metazoa; Chordata; Actinopteri; Siluriformes; Ictaluridae. The record is from the annotation of a GenBank genome assembly.
GGUGCUGUGGCUUAGUUGGUUGAAGUGCUUGCCUCGUAAUUAGGAGAUCCUGGUUUCAAAUCUCCAGCAGUGUCU